AACUCUUAACAAUAACAAAGAAAUGCAUAAAGCUCAAAACAUCAGCCCCAAAACUCAUCGAUACAGUGGAAUUUAUAUUGCAAUGUCAAUAGUCAAAAAACAAAAGUGCAACAAUAAGAGGUUUCGCAUCUGUUUUCGGGCAGAAACAGGGACAAACGGACUUAACGACCGAACUUUCACCACCUAGGCUCGAUUCCGAUCACUGGAAUUCCAGCAAAUCGUCGAAUUUUGAUUCUUUUCUUUGAAGGUUCCCAGAAGAUUUUCGAUUACGUGAGAUUAGAGGGUGAGCCUCCAGAAUCUCCAAAUUUUUUCUCAAAAAUCUUUAUUUUACUGCCCUUGCCUUCUUCCCCUCAAUCUCUUUUACAGGAGAAGAUAUUGAUAUUUUUUUCAUCUUUAAAAUAGAGAAACAUAUCCCUAAAUUUCGGACUUGAAUUGACACUACUGAUUUGGAUUGAAUUUUGGAAUGGAAGACACACAAUCUUGAGCUCAAAAGUCAACAACGAUGGCUCUAGAUCUGCAAAAUGUAAAAAUAAGAUGAAAAGAGAGAUUUUCCAUGAUUUGGGGGUUUGAAGGGUUGAAUUUUUUGUCUUCACGGAUCGGGUUGCCAUCGGAUUCGGGUUUACCCAUUGAAGUUGUUGCUGUUCGAUAUUGUUGUUUUAGUUCUUGCAGGUUGAAAGCUGUUGUUGUUCGUUGUUCUUGCUGUUGAGAGUUGUUGACGUUGAUAUUGUUCUUAAUGUUUUGGGUUUGUGUUUGUUGUUCGUUGUUCGUUGUAGGCGGUGGUGUGUAUUACAGAUUAAGGGAGAUAAAGGGAAAUUAGGAGUUGGCCGGGUCAGCUUAAGUUGCUGUGGAGUGGGUUGUUUCA
This 862-nucleotide long non-coding RNA is filed under the name Capsicum annuum. RNAcentral describes it as "long non-coding RNA (CANN_LNC018690)". The record is from RNAcentral. Lineage: Eukaryota; Viridiplantae; Streptophyta; Magnoliopsida; Solanales; Solanaceae.